UACAGAGGUCCCAAGCGUUGUUCGGAUUCACUGGGCGUAAAGGGUGCGCAGGUGGUCGGGUAAGUCUGACGUGAAAUCCCGCAGCUUAACUGCGGAAUGGCAUUGGAUACUAUUCGGCUAGAGGGUUGGAGGGGGGACUGGAGUUCUCGGUGUAGCAGUGAAAUGCGUAGAUAUCGAGAGGAACACCAGUGGCGAAGGCGAGUCCCUGGACAACUCCUGACGCUGAGGCACGAAAGCUAGGGGAGCAAACAGG
This 253-nucleotide ribosomal RNA is filed under the name uncultured bacterium. RNAcentral's name for it is "partial 16S ribosomal RNA". It matches the Rfam family "Bacterial small subunit ribosomal RNA", at positions 524 to 776 of the family's 1533-position model. The record is from RNAcentral.